GGGGCUUUAAAAGAUUGAAAUUCGUUUUUAACGGGUAGGCAGUGUUCGAUAAGAUUUUACAACGGAUUUUAAAAGCUUUUUAAAAGUGAUUUACAUGACUAAUAACUGUUUCCUGGCUUGUAUUUGGGAACUUGUAAUUAUUUAUACAGGUUGAAUACAGAGAUCAUCAUUCUACUUGCAAUGUUGAAGAAAUAGGAAAACAAGAAAAAUCCCAAACAAGGCGAUGAAGAAAUGGAAAGAGAAGAAGGAAAAGAAGAAAAAGUAGAAGAACAUGAUGAAUAUAAUGAUGCUGUAGAUCAAGAAGCGUAUAUAAAUUUGUCAAAUGAUGAAGAUAAUGAUACUGCACCCACAGAGAAAGAAUCACAAAAAAAAAAAAGAAGAAACAAAUGUCUGCUUUCCUUAACUUUUUAAAAAGACAUGAUAAAAUUGUCAAAAAAUAAAAAUUUUGUUUUGAUGUUUUGGUUUACAGGUUUUAAAAGAAGAAAACGUAGAAGAACAUGAUGAACAUGAUGAGACUGAAGAUCAAGAAGCAUAUGUAAUUUUGUCAGAUGAUGAAGAUAAUGGGACUACACCCACAGAGAAAGAAUCACAACCUCAAAAAGAAGAAACAACAGAGGUCUGCAUUCCUUAAUUGUUUAAAAAGACAUGAUAAAAUUGUCAAAAAAUAAAAAUUUGUUUUGAUGUUUUGGUUUACAGGUUCCAAAAGAAGAAAACGUAGAAGAACAUGAUAAACAUGAUGAGACUGAAGAUCAAGAAGCAUAUGUAAUUUUGUCAGAUGAUGAAGAUAAUGGGACUGCACCCACAGAGAAAGAAUCACAACGUCAAAAAGAAGAAACAACAGAGGUCUGCAUUCCUUAAUUGUUUAAAAAGACAUGAUAAAAUUGUCAAAAAAUAAAAUUUUGUUUUGAUGUUUUUGUUUACAGGUUCCAAGAGAGACCAAGAAAGAUGAUGAAGAUGUUAAUCAAACACCACUCUCUACGCAAGAAGAAGAAAUCACCCAGGGACAGAGCAGUCGUAAGUUCUUUUUACAUUCACAGAUGAUUUGCCUUGAUAAAGAACUUCUAUUUUUUUUUUUU
This 1076-nucleotide small RNA is filed under the name Arabidopsis thaliana (thale cress). RNAcentral describes it as "ATSL100500". The record is from RNAcentral. Lineage: Eukaryota; Viridiplantae; Streptophyta; Magnoliopsida; Brassicales; Brassicaceae.